UACGAAGGGUGCAAGCGUUACUCGGAAUCACUGGGCGUAAAGCGUGCGUAGGCGGUUUCUUAAGUCUGUCGUGAAAGCCCUGGGCUCAACCUGGGAACGGCGAUGGAUACUGGGAAGCUAAAAUGUGAGAGAGGAUGGUGGAAUUCCCGGUGUAGCGGUGAAAUGCGUAGAGAUCGGGAGGAACACCAGUGGCGAAGGCGGCCGUCUGGCUCAACAUUGACGCUGAGGCACGAAAGCGUGGGGAGCAAACAGG
Molecule: ribosomal RNA, 253 nt
Filed under: uncultured bacterium
Lineage: Bacteria
Description: partial 16S ribosomal RNA
Rfam family: Bacterial small subunit ribosomal RNA
Source: RNAcentral